Paramuricea clavata is the source of this 311-nucleotide non-coding RNA. Lineage: Eukaryota; Metazoa; Cnidaria; Anthozoa; Malacalcyonacea; Plexauridae. The record is from the annotation of a GenBank genome assembly.
CUCAGUUCGCAACUCAUUGUGUUUUGAUAAUGUUCGGCAUUGUAAAAUAAACUUUGGAAGUGUCAAUGAAAGUAAUCAUGAAUCUUUCCUUGGAGUAUUUGUUCGUCGAAACACAUUGUCAGAGUCAUUGUUGCCGUCAUGGCAGAAACACUCGGAGAAAGCUUUUCGCUGGAAGAAAUGGAGACGAUAUAUUCAUGUCGCGGCUUCUGUCUUCGAUAGAGAGCCUGCAAAAGUAUGGGUAGUUUUUGCUCAAGCGCGUGCCACGAAGAGGAUUUUGAUACAUGUAUAAACAAUAGAAGGGUUCAAGAACG